This 1243-nucleotide ribosomal RNA is filed under the name metagenome. RNAcentral describes it as "bacterial LSU rRNA". It matches the Rfam family "Bacterial large subunit ribosomal RNA", at positions 1564 to 2817 of the family's 2925-position model. The record is from RNAcentral.
UGAAUACGAGAUGCUACGGCGUCGAAGCAGUCUAUGUCAUACUUCCAAGAAAAGCUCGCACUGUCAUAAACAAAUAAUGCCUGUACCAUAACCGACACAGGUGGGUAGGUAGAGUAUACUAAGGGGCGCGAGAUAACUCUCUCUAAGGAACUCGGCAAAAUGACUCCGUAACUUCGGGAGAAGGAGUGCCUUAUUUAUAAGGUUGCAAUAACAAGAUCCAAGCAACUGUUUAUCAAAAACACAGGUCUCCGCUAAGUCGUAAGACGAUGUAUGGGGGCUGACGCCUGCCCAGUGCCAGAAGGUUAAAGAAGUUGGUUAGCAUUCGCGAAGCUGAUAACUGAAGCCCUGGUGAACGGCGGCCGUAACUAUAACGGUCCUAAGGUAGCGAAAUUCCUUGUCGGGUAAGUUCCGACCCGCACGAAAGGCGUAAUGAUUUGGAUACUGUCUCGGAGAGGGGCUCGGUGAAAUAGACUUGUCUGUGAAGAUGCGGACUACCUGCACCAGGACAGAAAGACCCUAUGAAGCUUUACUGUAACUUGAGAUUGAAAUUGGACUUUACUUGCGCAGUAUAGGUGGGAGGCGUUGAUAAUAUUCUUGCGGGAUUAUUUGAGCCAUCAGUGAGAUACCACUCUUGUAAUGUUAGAUUUCUAACUUUGUAUCAUUAUCUGGUCAAAGGACAGUUUCAGGCGGGCAGUUUGACUGGGGCGGUCGCCUCCUAAACGGUAACGGAGGCGCACAAAGGUUUCCUCUGAACGGGUAGAAAUCGUAUCUAGAGUGUAAAGGCAUAAGGAAGCUUGACUGUGAGACCUACAAGUCGAGCAGGGACGAAAGUCGGUCUUAGUGAUCUGACGGUGCUGAGUGGAAAGGCCGUCACUCAACGGAUAAAAGUUACUCUAGGAUAACAGGCUGAUCUCCCCCAAGAGUUCACAUCGACGGGGAGGUUUGGCACCUCGAUGUCGGCUCAUCGCAUCCUGGGGCGGUAGUACGUCCCAAGGGUUGGGCUGUUCGCCCAUGAAAGCGGUACGCGAGCUGGGUUCAGAACGUCGUGAGACAGUUCGGUCCAUAUCCGGUGUAGGCGUUAGAAUAUUGAGAGGAGCCUUCUUUAGUACGAGAGGACCGAGAAGGACAUACCUCUGGUGUACCAGUUAUCGUGCCAACGGUAAACGCUGGGUAGCUAUGUAUGGAGUGGAUAACCGCUGAAAGCAUCUAAGUGGGAAGCCCACCUCAAGAUAAGUAUUCUCAU